This 459-nucleotide ribosomal RNA is filed under the name uncultured bacterium. RNAcentral describes it as "partial 16S ribosomal RNA". It matches the Rfam family "Bacterial small subunit ribosomal RNA", at positions 339 to 795 of the family's 1533-position model. The record is from RNAcentral.
CUACGGGCGGCACCAGUAAGGAAUAUCGCGCAAUGGAGGCAACUCUGACGCAGCCAUGCCGCGUGCAGGAAGAAGGCCUUAUGGGUCGUAAACUGCUUUUAUUUAGGAAUAAACCCCCGAACGUGUUCGGGGCUGAAGGUACUAAACGAAUAAACACCGGCUAACUCCGUGCCAGCAGCCGCGGUAAUACGGAGGGUGCAAGCGUUAUCCGGAUUUAUUGGGUUUAAAGGGUGCGCAGGCGGGCUAUUAAGUCAGUGGUGAAAUCCCGGGGCUCAACUCCGGAACUGCCAUUGAUACUGAUAGUCUUGAGUUUGGUUGAAGUGGGCGGAAUGUAGCAUGUAGCGGUGAAAUGCAUAGAUAUGCUACAGAACACCAAUCGCGAAGGCAGCUCACUAAGCCAAAACUGACGCUCAUGCACGAAAGCGUGGGGAUCAAACAGGAUUAGAUACCCGCGUAGUC